GCUUAUGCGUUGUUGGGUAGGGGAGCGUUCUGUAAGCCUGUGAAGGUGGCCUGUGAGGGUUGCUGGAGGUAUCAGAAGUGCGAAUGCUGACAUAAGUAACGAUAAAGCGGGUGAAAAGCCCGCUCGCCGGAAGACCAAGGGUUCCUGUCCAACGUUAAUCGGGGCAGGGUGAGUCGACCCCUAAGGCGAGGCCGAAAGGCGUAGUCGAUGGGAAACGGGUUAAUAUUCCCGUACUUGGUGUUACUGCGAAGGGGGGACGGAGAAGGCUAUGUUGGCCGGGCGACGGUUGUCCCGGUUUAAGCGUGUAGGUGUGUGUUCCAGGUAAAUCCGGUUCACUUUAACACUGAGGCGUGAUGACGAGGCACUACGGUGCUGAAGUAACAAAUGCCCUGCUUCCAGGAAAAGCCUCUAAGCAUCAGGUAACAUCAAAUCGUACCCCAAACCGACACAGGUGGUCAGGUAGAGAAUACCAAGGCGCUUGAGAGAACUCGGGUGAAGGAACUAGGCAAAAUGGUGCCGUAACUUCGGGAGAAGGCACGCUGACAC
This 546-nucleotide ribosomal RNA is filed under the name Salmonella enterica. RNAcentral's name for it is "partial 23S ribosomal RNA". It matches the Rfam family "Bacterial large subunit ribosomal RNA", at positions 1213 to 1757 of the family's 2925-position model. The record is from RNAcentral. Lineage: Bacteria; Pseudomonadati; Pseudomonadota; Gammaproteobacteria; Enterobacterales; Enterobacteriaceae. RNAcentral also lists the same sequence under 4 other names.